RNAcentral lists this ribosomal RNA (465 nucleotides) under uncultured bacterium. Its description in RNAcentral is "partial 16S ribosomal RNA". It matches the Rfam family "Bacterial small subunit ribosomal RNA", at positions 28 to 507 of the family's 1533-position model. The record is from RNAcentral.
GACGAACGCUGGCGGCGUGCUUAACACAUGCAAGUCGUACGGUAAGGCCCUUUCGGGGGUACACGAGUGGCGAACGGGUGAGUAACACGUGAGUAACCUGCCCACAACUUUGGGAUAACGCUAGGAAACUGGUGCUAAUACUGGAUAUGUGCUCCUGCUGCAUGGUGGGGGUUGGAAAGCUCCGGCGGUUGUGGAUGGACUCGCGGCCUAUCAGCUUGUUGGUGGGGUAGUGGCCUACCAAGGCGGCGACGGGUAGCCGGCCUGAGAGGGUGACCGGCCACAUUGGGAUGGAGAUCCGCCCCAGCCCCCUGUGGGGGGAAGAGGGGGGAAAUAUGGAACAAGGGGCGCAAGCCGGAUGCAGCAACCCCGCGGGCGGGAUGAGGGCUUUGGGUUUGAAACCCGUUUUCAGCAGGGACGAGGCUUUUUGUGAGGGUCCCUGAAGAAGAAGCACCGGCAAACUCCGUC